CCUACGGGGGGCUGCAGUCGAGAAUCUUCCGCAAUGGGCGCAAGCCUGACGGAGCGAUGCCGCGUGAGGGAUGAAGGCCUUCGGGUCGUAAACCUCUGUCGCCCGGGACGAAACAAAUGACGGUACCGGGAGAGGAAGCUACGGCUAACUACGUGCCAGCAGCCGCGGUAAUACGUAGGUAGCAAGCGUUAUUCGGAUUUACUGGGCGUAAAGGGUCCGCAGGGGGCCUGUCAAGUCUGAUGUGAAAUGCCACGGCUCAACCGUGGAACGGCAUUGGAAACUGACGGGCUAGAGUGCAUGAGGGGUGAGCAGAAUUCCUGGUGUAGCGGUGGAAUGCGUAGAUAUCAGGAGGAAUACCGAUGGCGAAGGCGGCUCACUGGCGUGCAACUGACCCUCAGGGACGAAAGCGUGGGUAGCAAACAGGAUUAGAUACCCCAGUAGUC
Molecule: ribosomal RNA, 443 nt
Filed under: uncultured bacterium
Lineage: Bacteria
Description: bacterial SSU rRNA
Rfam family: Bacterial small subunit ribosomal RNA
Source: RNAcentral